GACGAACGCUGGCGGCGUGCCUAAUACAUGCAAGUAGAACGCUGAAGGAGGAGCUUGCUUCUCUGGAUGAGUUGCGAACGGGUGAGUAACGCGUAGGUAACCUGCCUGGUAGCGGGGGAUAACUAUUGGAAACGAUAGCUAAUACCGCAUAAUAGUAGAUGUUGCAUGACAUUUGCUUAAAAGGUGCAAUUGCAUCACUACCAGAUGGACCUGCGUUGUAUUAGCUAGUUGGUGGGGUAACGGCUCACCAAGGCGACGAUACAUAGCCGAACGGAGAGGGUGGUCGGCCACACUGGGACGGAGACACGGCCCAGACGCCUACGGGAGGCAGCAGUAGGGAAUCGUCGGCAAUGGGCGGAAAUCUGACCGAGCUAGGCCGAAGGAGGGAGGAAGAUUUUCGGGUCGUAAAGCUCGGUUGUAAGGGAAGAACGAGUUUGAGAGUGGAAAGAUCACACUGUGACGGUAACUGACCAGAAAGGGACGGCUAACUACGUG
RNAcentral lists this ribosomal RNA (495 nucleotides) under uncultured bacterium. RNAcentral's name for it is "partial 16S ribosomal RNA". It matches the Rfam family "Bacterial small subunit ribosomal RNA", at positions 28 to 507 of the family's 1533-position model. The record is from RNAcentral.